Tupaia belangeri chinensis (Chinese tree shrew) is the source of this 357-nucleotide long non-coding RNA. RefSeq lists it as uncharacterized. The record is from RefSeq and is a predicted model, not a curated record. The transcript is spliced from 3 exons. Lineage: Eukaryota; Metazoa; Chordata; Mammalia; Scandentia; Tupaiidae.
GGAACACAGGAGUGAAAGUGGGGUUCAGCACCGAGUCCCUAGACAGUGACCAGACACUGAGGAAAAUCGACAGAUACCCAGCCAUGUCCUUCUGUUUACAAGCUUUGUGUUCACUAAUCACGACGUGCUAAAACUUCAAAACAGUGCUGCGUGCAUAAUGUUCUUCACCAACAAGUGUCACCGUGCACGGCUCCGCGCUGAGGUUUCGGCUGCCUGCCCCCUCGUGCCUGCCUUCCUGCCUUGAUCUUGGCUCACAGACGGUCCCGGCGCCGAGAGGAGCCAUCAAGAGGGUAAGGCUCCUCUUGCCGUUUCGUAAUCACGUAAGCGUAGCAGGCACACUUACCGAGGAUGGACCUU